GUAGGUGGCAAGCGUUGUCCGGAAUUAUUGGGCGUAAAGCGCGCGCAGGGGUGGUUCUUUAAGUCUGAUGUGAAAGCCCCCGGGCUCAACCGGGGGGGGUCAUUGGAAACUGGGGAACUUGAGUGCAGGAGAGGAAAGUGGAAUUCCACGUGUAGCGGUGAAAUGCGUAGAUAUGUGGAGGAACACCAGUGGCGAAGGCGACUUUCUGGCCUGUAACUGACACUGAGGCGCGAAAGCGUGGGGAGCAAACAGGAUUAGAUACCCUGGUAGUCCACGCCGUAAACGAUGAGUGCUAAGUGUUGGGGGGUUUCCGCCCCUCAGUGCUGCAGCUAACGCAUUAAGCACUCCGCCUGGGGAGUACGGUCGCAAGACUG
Molecule: ribosomal RNA, 374 nt
Filed under: uncultured organism
Description: partial 16S ribosomal RNA
Rfam family: Bacterial small subunit ribosomal RNA
Source: RNAcentral